Molecule: ribosomal RNA, 441 nt
Filed under: Actinomyces sp. 'ARUP UnID 39'
Lineage: Bacteria; Bacillati; Actinomycetota; Actinomycetes; Actinomycetales; Actinomycetaceae
Description: bacterial SSU rRNA
Rfam family: Bacterial small subunit ribosomal RNA
Source: RNAcentral
UCCAAAGGCUUUUUGUUUUUGGUGAGAGUGGCGAACGGGUGAGUAACACGUGAGUAACCUGCCCCCUUCUUUUGGAUAACCGCAUGAAAGUGUGGCUAAUACAGGAUAAUCCGCUUUGGUCGCAUGGCUUUGGUGGGAAAUGCUUUGUUGUGGUGGGGGAUGGGCUCGCGGCCUAUCAGCUUGUUGGUGGGGUGAUGGCCUACCAAGGCGGUGACGGGUAGCCGGCCUGAGAGGGUGGGCGGUCACACUGGGACUGAGAUACGGCCCAGACUCCUACGGGAGGCAGCAGUGGGGGAUUUUGCACAAUGGGCGCAAGCCUGAUGCAGCGACGCCGCGUGAGGGAUGAAGGCCUUCGGGUUGUAAACCUCUUUCGCUGGGUUGAAAGGCCAUGCUUUGGGUGUGGUUGAUUUGAACUGGUAAAGAAGUACCGGCUAACUACGU